This 891-nucleotide ribosomal RNA is filed under the name uncultured archaeon. RNAcentral's name for it is "bacterial SSU rRNA". It matches the Rfam family "Archaeal small subunit ribosomal RNA", at positions 1 to 879 of the family's 1478-position model. The record is from RNAcentral.
UCCGGUUGAUCCUGCCGGACCCGACUGCUAUUUGGGUGAGAAUAAGCCAUGCGAGUCGAAUGGGAUACCUAAAUCUCCCAUGGCAAACUGCUCAGUAACACAUGAUCAACUUACCCUACAGAGAAAAAUAACCUCGGGAAACUGAGGAUAAUGUUUCAUAGUUGAAUAGGCUUGGAAAAGUUUUUCAAUAAAAGGGAUAAGGAAAAUGGUCCUUAUCCGCUAUAGGAUAGGAUCGUGUUCGAUUAUGGUUGUUGGUGAGGUAACGGCUCACCAAGCCGAUAAUCGAUAGGGGCCGUGAGAGCGGGAGCCCCGAGAUGGGUACUGAGACAACGACCCAGGCCUUACGAGGCGCAGCAGGCGCGGAACCUCCGCAAUACACGAAAGUGUGACGGGGUUACCCAAAGUGCUCUUUCUAGAGCUGUGGUAGGUGAGUAAUGUUCCCUACUAGAAAGGAGAGGGCAAGGCUGGUGCCAGCCGCCGCGGUAAAACCAGCUCAUCAAGUGGUCGGGAUAAUUAUUGGGCUUAAAGUGUCCGUAGCCGGUUUAGAAAGUUCCUGGUAAAAUCGGGUAGCUUAACUAUCCGUAUGCUAGGAAUACUGCUAUACUAGAGGGCGGGAGAGGUCUGAGGUACUACAGGGGUAGGGGUGAAAUCUUAUAAUCCUUGUAGGACCACCAGUGGCGAAGGCGUCAGACUGGAACGCGCCUGACGGUGAGGGACGAAAGCCAGGGGAGCGAACCGGAUUAGAUACCCGGGUAGUCCUGGCCGUAAACGAUGCAUACUAGGUGAUGGCAUUACUGCGAGUGAUGUCAGUGCCGAAGGGAAGCCGUUAAGCCCGCCAUCUGGGGAGUACGGUCGCAAGGCUGAAACUUAAAGGAAUUGGCGGGGGAGCAC